GGUGAGUAAUGCAUAGGAAUCUGCCCGAUAGUGGGGGAUAACCUGGGGAAACCCAGGCUAAUACCGCAUACGUCCUACGGGAGAAAGGGGGCUCCGGCUCCCGCUAUCGGAUGAGCCUAUGUCGGAUUAGCUGGUUGGUGAGGUAAAGGCUCACCAAGGCGACGAUCCGUAGCUGGUCUGAGAGGAUGAUCAGCCACAUCGGGACUGAGACACGGCCCGAACUCCUACGGGAGGCAGCAGUGGGGAAUAUUGGACAAUGGGGGGAACCCUGAUCCAGCCAUGCCGCGUGUGUGAAGAAGGCCCUCGGGUUGUAAAGCACUUUCAGUGAGGAAGAACGCCUGGUGGUUAAUACCCAUCAGGAAAGACAUCACUCACAGAAGAAGCACCGGCUAACUCCGUGCCAGCAGCCGCGGUAAUACGGAGGGUGCGAGCGUUAAUCGGAAUUACUGGGCGUAAAGCGCGCGUAGGUGGCUUGAUAAGCCGGUUGUGAAAGCCCCGGGCUCAACCUGG
This 510-nucleotide ribosomal RNA is filed under the name uncultured bacterium. Its description in RNAcentral is "bacterial SSU rRNA". It matches the Rfam family "Bacterial small subunit ribosomal RNA", at positions 105 to 617 of the family's 1533-position model. The record is from RNAcentral.